GAGGCCAGUCGCCCCCUGGCGGGCGGCGGCGCGCAGGGACCGCCCCCAGCUUCGUGCUGCCGCCCGCCUCAGCCCAACAUGGCGAUGCACAACAAGGCGGCCCCGCCGCAGAUCCCGGACACCCGGCGGGAGCUGGCGGAGCUCGUGAAGCGGAAGCAGGAGCUGGCGGAAACACUGGCAAACUUGGAGAGACAGAUCUAUGCUUUUGAAGGAAGCUACUUGGAAGACACUCAGAUGUAUGGCAAUAUUAUUCGUGGCUGGGAUCGAUACCUGACCAACCAAAAAAACUCCAAUAGCAAAAACGAUCGAAGGAACCGGAAGUUUAAGGAAGCUGAGCGGCUUUUCAGUAAAUCUUCAGUUACAUCAGCAGCUGCAGUUAGCGCAUUGGCAGGAGUUCAGGACCAGCUCAUUGAAAAGAGGGAGCCAGGAAGUGGGACAGAAAGCGAUACUUCUCCAGACUUCCACAAUCAGGAAAAUGAGCCCAACCAGGAGGAUCCUGAGGAUCUGGAUGGAUCUGUGCAGGGAGUGAAACCUCAGAAGGCUGCUUCUUCUACUUCCUCAGGGAGUCAUCACAGCAGCCAUAAAAAGCGAAAGAAUAAAAACCGGCACAGCCCGUCUGGCAUGUUUGAUUAUGACUUUGAGUAUGUAUAUUAGGUUAGGCUGGGAAGUUUUUUUUAAAAACAGAAAAACGUGAUGGAGGAUUGAUCUGAAGUUAAACAAAAAACCACGAGCUGACUAUUAGAAGAUGCGUUAGUGCAGAAGCUUCCAGGCUGUAGAGCCCUGCUUCCCUUCUCCGACCUCACAAAGAUAAACAUCCCUCACCUGAGUGUGUGGCCAUCCACCUCCGCUCUCCCAGACCCAGUGCCUGUGACUCUUGAGUAGUUUGUUCUAAAUGUGGUGACAAACAAGUCAUUUCUCUAAGACAUUGGAUCAUUUACUUUGUGUCAUUUUUAGUAACAGAACUGCAGGAAGACCAAGACAUGGUUAUAAUCCCAGCAAAUUGCUAACUGUGCAUUUCUCCCUUCUUAGAAUGAAUGUCUCCCCCCAAACUGGCUGGCACCAGCUUCAUCUGUGAUACCCAUCAAGAAAUGUUCUCUGGUUUUAUUUUAUGCUGAAAGUAGAACACAAGUCACAUUUCAGAUGGAGGCUGUAAAUAUCUGGCAUUUUCUUAUUUGGUUUUGUGCUUUAUUAUUUUUCUAUUGUUGUUUUUAUCAUCGUAUUUUCUUUUGGGUCUUUUUUGUAAUGCCUUUGUACAGCUCGUACCUUCCUGCUGGCAUAUCUGAUAAUCUUUUUCAUGCAGUUGCCAAUAUUCUUAACUGAAAAUAAUCUGGUUUAUUAUAAGUAAAAUGGGAAACUUGGCUCUUUGGUUUUUUGCAAGGGGAGGUAAAGAGUGUUUAUUUAGAAAUUACCUAUCUUUAAUCUUUCUGAGUUGGAAGCAAAUUCCUGUUCAAGGAACAAGAAAAAUGGAAAAACAUAAGUUUAAAUCAAUCCUUUCUAAAUAUUUUUAUUCUUUUGUAUAAAUAAAAUUUCACAGGCUUUGACUUCUCAUGCUUUACUUUUAAGCCUGUGAUUGUUUUUUCACUUAUUUAUUCAUAUCAUGCCUUAUGGAAAUUUCUUUCUUUUUCUAUAUUUUCUCUCUUUGCUGGUAUUCACCUGAUUAAAUAAUUUUUCUAAAAAUCAACAUGGCAUAUGGAAAGACUCAAAAUGACACCAAAAGCUGAUAAUGUGUGGAGUUCUUAAGUGGAGUGAAAGAUUGUAUCAGUGAAAGCCAGCGUCGCCCAAGAGAACCCCCUUCCUUGCCGGAGUUGACGGGUUUAGGGACUUGCUGAUAAUAGUUACCUGUCUUUAGUGCCUGGUGAUCGGCUACGCAUUGGAAUCAUCUAGGAAGCUUUAAAAUGUACUGAUGCCUGGGUCCCAUCCCCAGAGAUCUGGGGCAUAGCCUAGUUAUUGGGAUUCCCUUUCAAACAGUUCCAGAUAUUCUGAUAAGAAGCCAAGUUGAGAACUACUGCAUUAGGAGACUUGAAUGGUUUGACUUAAAUUGUAUGUUAUGAAUCAGUCUAAUGAAUAAGAUCUGGGGCCUGACCUUUCCUUUGACUCUAGUUAUCAUACUCCUUUACUCAUGACCGUAUCUUUGUAAGAAACAGUUUGUUCCAUUUGUGAUAAUAUUGGUAGAGCUCAAUAUGGAUAGCAUCUGCUGUCAUAACAAGUCUCCCUUGUCAGAUGUGUAAAAGCUUUCACUCUUGUUCUCAAAUAAACUUUUUUUUUUUUUGA
Microcebus murinus (gray mouse lemur) is the source of this 2271-nucleotide RNA transcript. It is a transcript of the gene named MYST/Esa1 associated factor 6, with no coding region annotated. Lineage: Eukaryota; Metazoa; Chordata; Mammalia; Primates; Cheirogaleidae. The record is from RefSeq and is a predicted model, not a curated record.